This 544-nucleotide long non-coding RNA is filed under the name Setaria viridis. RNAcentral describes it as "long non-coding RNA (SVIR_LNC000483)". The record is from RNAcentral. Lineage: Eukaryota; Viridiplantae; Streptophyta; Magnoliopsida; Poales; Poaceae.
CCCGAGGUAGUGUUUGGUUUGUGGGGCUCACCGAGAUUAGGAACUUGAAGGUGAACACAAGCACAUGGUUUAGACAAGUUCGAACCGCUAGAUUGCGUAAUACCCUACGUCCUGUGUGUUGGUUGGGUUGAAUUUCUUUGGGGGAGGUUCCUGCCUCACCUUAUAUUGCCAGGGGCAGGGUUACAGGUCGGUUGAUUUACAAGAAUACUAGUCGGAUUCGACUAGGCGAGUCCUAUUCUAAUUGCUACGAGUACUUUUCCUAAUCCUCAACUAGUUUUGGUCUUGCCACGUAGACUACGCUGUCUUGCACUAUAGCCUCCAUGUCAGAUACGUCUCAGUGUUUAGCCCUGUAUUUAGGACUGUCCAAACCUUCUAGUGGGCCCAUAGAUGUAUGUACGACAAGCCCCCGAGUACUUUUUAGUCAAAUGCAGCAGUUUUGAUUACUUUUGUUGACUUCACCGACUAGUUUUGGUGUUCUUUGAGCACUUCAUCGGGUUGAGUCUUCAAACAUACGCGAACACUAUCAUGCAGCUAGAAUCUGCUC